ACUCAAAUAGUUUAAGUUUAAAAUAUAGGUUUGUGACAUCUAUGAUGUAUUAAAGUACUUUGAGUA
This 66-nucleotide transfer RNA is filed under the name Dynomene pilumnoides. RNAcentral describes it as "tRNA-His". It matches the Rfam family "tRNA". Rfam says of the family: Transfer RNA (tRNA) molecules are approximately 80 nucleotides in length. Lineage: Eukaryota; Metazoa; Arthropoda; Malacostraca; Decapoda; Dynomenidae. The record is from RNAcentral.